UAUAAUAUAGACAGCUCUGACUUUCAGGAUCUCUCGCCAUCCCUGAGCCCUCUGAAAACUGUAACAGAUGGGGGCGGGGUGUAGACAUUAAUGUCCUAAAGCAGAAACUAUGGGGCUUAAAAAUGGAGGGAGCGCCCCCAGAAACCUCACAUGGGUGGGAGGAAACUUGAGGCUUCAGGAAAGUGGGAGGGGAGCGUGCUUUGGGCCCUUGGUUUUGAAAUGGGCUCUCUUUUUUUGUUUGUUUUUUAAAGGAGAACUGCAAGGAAAAAAAAAAUCAAGAUUUGGAGGAAUUACUCACAGAGAUGGAAGUCUGUGUCCUUUGAUUUCCCCAAAAGAAGAAAAGAAGAGAGAAAAACUGGAUAACUGCUGGACUUUACUACCAAGAGACGCAAAAGUACUUCCUAACUGAGGACAUCUUCUCCCAAAGGAAAAAAAGUCCACAGAGCAAUUAGAACAAUAUUAUUCUCUGGGUUGGAAACAGGGUACCUUGUUUACUGAAGUUUUCUGAGGCAAAAAAAAAAAAUCAUUAUUUUAAUGCAAACGCUUAAAACUGUGCAGAAAAAAAAAUAAAGGUUCGUGCUGUCAUA
Molecule: long non-coding RNA, 587 nt
Organism: Panthera uncia (snow leopard)
Lineage: Eukaryota; Metazoa; Chordata; Mammalia; Carnivora; Felidae
Exons: 2
Source: RefSeq, a predicted model, not a curated record